Molecule: ribosomal RNA, 495 nt
Filed under: uncultured bacterium
Lineage: Bacteria
Description: partial 16S ribosomal RNA
Rfam family: Bacterial small subunit ribosomal RNA
Source: RNAcentral
GACGAACGCUGGCGGCGUGCCUAAUACAUGCAAGUAGAACGCUGAAGGAGGAGCUUGCUUCUCUGGAUGAGUUGCGGACGGGUGAGUAACGCGUAGGUAACCUGCCUGGUAGCGGGGGAUAACUAUUGGAAACGAUAGCUAAUACCGCAUAAGAGUAGAUGUUGCAUGACAUUUGCUUAAAAGGUGCAAUUGCAUCACUACCAGAUGGACCUGCGUUGUAUUAGCUAGUUGGUGGGGUAACGGCUCACCAAGGCGACGAUACAUAGCCGACCUGAGAGGGUGAUCGGCCACACUGGGACUGAGACACGGCCCAGACUCCUACGGGAGGCAGCAGUAGGGAAUCUUCGGCAAUGGACGGAAGUCUGACCGAGCAACGCCGCGUGAGUGAAGAAGGUUUUCGGAUCGUAAAGCUCUGUUGUAAGAGAAGAACGAGUGUGAGAGUGGAAAGUUCACACUGUGACGGUAGCUUACCAGAAAGGGACGGCUAACUACGUG